CUGAUCUGCAGAUAUUUGAGGUACCAUGGCUGAGAUGGAUCUUCUUACGCUAAUCAAAAGCGUACCAUCCCUGAUUGAACAAUUGGGGAAGGCAUUAAAUGAUCUUGAAUCUCACGAAAAUGCCUCCAUGGAUAAGGGUUUACUCAAGGAUAUUGAAAGACACUUCCGGGAUCUGGAGGCCUCAGCAGUGAACAAGUCUUUGUUCACGAAGAUGCCUCCAUGGAUAAGGGUUUACUCAAGGAUAUUGAAAGACACUUCCGGGAUCUGGAGGCCUCAGCAGUGAACAAGGCUUUGGAACUAGAAAGUAAAGAGAAAGCCUUUAAGGAACAAGAAUCUGAUGCACAUCUG
This 348-nucleotide long non-coding RNA is filed under the name Nicotiana benthamiana. Its description in RNAcentral is "long non-coding RNA (NBEN_LNC022924)". The record is from RNAcentral. Lineage: Eukaryota; Viridiplantae; Streptophyta; Magnoliopsida; Solanales; Solanaceae.